This 433-nucleotide ribosomal RNA is filed under the name uncultured bacterium. RNAcentral's name for it is "partial 16S ribosomal RNA". It matches the Rfam family "Bacterial small subunit ribosomal RNA", at positions 29 to 507 of the family's 1533-position model. The record is from RNAcentral.
AACGAACGCUGGCGGCAUGCCUAACACAUGCAAGUCGAACGAGACCUUCGGGUCUAGUGGCGCACGGGUGCGUAACGCGUGGUAACCUGCCCUUAGGUUCGGAAUAACUCCCCGAAAGGGGUGCUAAUACCGGAUAAUGUCUUCGGACCAAAGAUUUAUCGCCUUUGGAUGGGCCCGCGUUGGAUUAGCUAGUUGGUAGGGUAAAAGCCUACCAAGGCGACGAUCCAUAGCUGGUCUGAGAGGAUGAUCAGCCACACUGGGAAUGAGACACGGCCCAGACUCCUACGGGAGGGAGCAGUGGGGAAUAUUGGACAAUGGGCGAAAGCCUGAUCCAGCAAUGCCGCGUGAGUGAUGAAGGCCUUAGGGUUGUAAAGCUCUUUUACCCGGGAUGAUAAUGACAGUACCGGGAGAAUAAGCUCCGGCUAACUCCGUG